RNAcentral lists this long non-coding RNA (311 nucleotides) under Actinidia chinensis (golden kiwifruit). RNAcentral's name for it is "long non-coding RNA (ACHI_LNC003644)". Lineage: Eukaryota; Viridiplantae; Streptophyta; Magnoliopsida; Ericales; Actinidiaceae. The record is from RNAcentral.
AACAACUGAUUUAAGUUUUGUACAUUUAUCUUGGGGCGUAAUUAACUUGAGCUUGAAGUUCCCCGGGUUCAAUUUCAAUCUCAAGUUAAUUAGGUUUUAUUAGACAAUUCGUUUUGUUGUACUUUGUCUAUUUCAAAUUAUGAUGGUUUGAAUUUUUGUGUAAUAAGUAGUGACUAUUUUGCAUAUGUUUUGUUUUGCGAGGACUACUGAUAUUGGCUAUCGGACUCGAUUGGAUGUACCAUGCUAAUACCGAAGCCAAGGCCCAGGUACUCCCAAAUACAUAUCUCCACAUCUUCAGAUAUUGAGGUACG